UGCUGUACAACUGGCGGAAAACAUUUUAUAUGUUGUGGGAUUACCCACAGGGAGUACAGUUUUUAUAAAAGCCGACCGCCUGGGCGACCA
This 90-nucleotide non-coding RNA is filed under the name uncultured Lachnospira sp. Its description in RNAcentral is "ZMP/ZTP riboswitch". It matches the Rfam family "ZMP/ZTP riboswitch aptamer (pfl RNA motif)". Rfam says of the family: Previously known as pfl RNA. The record is from RNAcentral. Lineage: Bacteria; Bacillati; Bacillota; Clostridia; Lachnospirales; Lachnospiraceae.